GGCUCGUUGGUCUAGGGGUAUGAUUCUCGCUUCGGGUGCGAGAGGAUCCCGGGUUAAAAUCCCGGACGAGCCC
This 73-nucleotide transfer RNA is filed under the name Dermacentor silvarum. Its description in RNAcentral is "transfer RNA proline (anticodon CGG)". It matches the Rfam family "tRNA". From Rfam's summary of the family: Transfer RNA (tRNA) molecules are approximately 80 nucleotides in length. Their secondary structure includes four short double-helical elements and three loops (D, anti-codon, and T loops). Further hydrogen bonds mediate the characteristic L-shaped molecular structure. tRNAs have two regions of fundamental functional importance: the anti-codon, which is responsible for specific mRNA codon recognition, and the 3' end, to which the tRNAs corresponding amino acid is attached (by aminoacyl-tRNA synthetases). tRNAs cope with the degeneracy of the genetic code in two manners: having more than one tRNA (with a specific anti-codon) for a particular amino acid; and 'wobble' base-pairing, i.e. permitting non-standard base-pairing at the 3rd anti-codon position. Lineage: Eukaryota; Metazoa; Arthropoda; Arachnida; Ixodida; Ixodidae. The record is from RNAcentral.